GGAAUAAAUAGCAGGAAUUUAAUGCAUUUUUCUGAUAACAAAAUCACUACAGGAAACAUUCGGAAGGCAUAACAUCAAGCCCCACAACAUCUAAACACUAUCAAAUGUGUCAUUCCUGUUUCCUCACCCUUGUCAUGGAUUAGUACACAUUAUCUGAUUGUAUUAAUAAAAAUGGCAAUGAAACCAGAAAUCGUAGGACAAUCAUCUUAAUAAAUCUAAUCCAAUAAUGCAUAUCAAGCAAGCAACAUUAAUGUAGAAAUUGACCAUUAAACUGCAAAAU
Molecule: unclassified non-coding RNA, 280 nt
Filed under: Hevea brasiliensis (rubber tree)
Lineage: Eukaryota; Viridiplantae; Streptophyta; Magnoliopsida; Malpighiales; Euphorbiaceae
Source: RNAcentral